GAUGAACGCUAGCUACAGGCUUAACACAUGCAAGUCGAGGGGUAACGAGAGGAAAGCUUGCUUUCCUUGUCGACGACCGGCGCACGGGUGAGUAACGCGUAUCCAACCUGCCCACCACUUGGGGAUAACCUUGCGAAAGUAAGACUAAUACCCAAUGAUAUCUCUAGAAGACAUCUGAAAGAGAUUAAAGAUUUAUCGGUGAUGGAUGGGGAUGCGUCUGAUUAGCUUGUUGGCGGGGUAACGGCCCACCAAGGCGACGAUCAGUAGGGGUUCUGAGAGGAAGGUCCCCCACAUUGGAACUGAGACACGGUCCAAACUCCUACGGGAGGCAGCAGUGAGGAAUAUUGGUCAAUGGGCGAGAGCCUGAACCAGCCAAGUAGCGUGCAGGAUGACGGCCCUAUGGGUUGUAAACUGCUUUUAUAAGGGAAUAAAGUGAGAGUCGUGACUCUUUUUGCAUGUACCUUAUGAAUAAGGACCGGCUAAUUCCGUGCCAGCAGCCGCCGCCG
RNAcentral lists this ribosomal RNA (506 nucleotides) under uncultured bacterium. Its description in RNAcentral is "partial 16S ribosomal RNA". It matches the Rfam family "Bacterial small subunit ribosomal RNA", at positions 28 to 523 of the family's 1533-position model. The record is from RNAcentral.